RNAcentral lists this long non-coding RNA (470 nucleotides) under Brassica napus (rape). RNAcentral describes it as "long non-coding RNA (BNAP_LNC007653)". Lineage: Eukaryota; Viridiplantae; Streptophyta; Magnoliopsida; Brassicales; Brassicaceae. The record is from RNAcentral.
GUGUCGGUGGUGACGAGUGAAUGAGCGGUGUCGGUGGUGACGAGUGAAUGAGCGGUGUCGGUGGUGACGAGCAGAAGGAGAGAUGGUGGUGGUGGUGGUGACGAGCGGAAGGAGAGAUGGUGGUGGUGGUGAGGAGGUCAAACAUGAUGGAUUGGACGAGAAGAGGCGUCAGAGAGAGAGAGAGAUUUGUGUGUUAGGUUAAGAAAGUAGAAGAUAAUCAAACGAUGGAUUUGUAUGAUGUGGAUUGUUAUUACUGAUGUGGAUUUAGUGUUUAAAAAUAGUUUUAGUUAAAAAAACUAAUCAAAGGUCUUUAUUGUCAUUUACUAGAGAUAUCCAAACAUUCUAGUAGUUUUAAAAAGAUGUAUAACAGUCUAGUAAUAAACCAACUUUUCUAUAAUAUUCUAGUAAUUUUUUCAAUAUAAAUCUAUUUGGUGUAAAAAAAACGACUUUUAUCAUUUUUCCAGAAUAAA